GCGUUCUCAACCUUAAGCCAAUGCACAUUUAUAGAACAAUUCCAUGUGAUCCUGAGGAAGGCGGACUUCAGGCGGAGGGCAGUGCUGAAAAGUUGUAAUCUCGAGAGAGAGGACUCUUCCCUCUUGCUGCUCUUCAUGCUAAGAGGACACUGGGUAAGUCAGUCUAAGAUCGAUGGCUUCGUUCCUUUACACAAUGCGUGGCUUUAGACUAGUUUUGCUACUGAAAUUGGAGGGAUACAUGCAUUUCUUUUUUUUCCUUAUAAAGAGAAAUUAAAGGCACAUCUGUGCUCCUUCCUCCCUUCCCCCCAUUCUCUCCUAAGCCAAAUUAACCACACCUUUUCUUUCUAGUACACUACUGGUUACUUUUAGUAGGAUAUGCCCCAUUAAUGCAGACCCUAGUCUCUUCAUUUGUAAAAUGAGGGGUUGGACUGGAUGAUGGCUGGAAUUUCUUCUGGUCUCUAUGAUGAUUCUGCCUAAGGCAGAUUAUAAUUUCAAGUGUUUGUGAUUCUGUGGAAUAAUUUGAGAGUCCCUAAAGUUCUAAUACACUAAGACUGUGUGAAAAAGUUGUUUUAAAAAUUGUAAUUGUGCUGGCCUUGACAUGUUUGCCUAUGUAUUUCUCUAGCCUCUCUCUAAGUACCUUUUCAGACCUGUUUCUGAGGCUGUGGCUGCCAACUGCAGCUGCUGUGUGAUCUCGACAAGACUGUAUUUCUGGGUCUGACUUACUGUCAGUUAUAAUUGAAUCCUCAGGUCAAAGCUGAAGCUAGGCAGAAUGUUAAGCCUCCUCAGAGAAUGUUACAGUUCAGUUAAACACAGCAGAGCAUACGUGUAUGCAAGCGUGUACGUGUGCACAAUGUUUUCUACUAUCUCCCAUCAAACUGAAGUGCAUGAACUGAAAUUCUUGAGCAUACUUGCACACUUAUUGCACAGGUGUAGACUUCAGGGACAGAACUGAGCUCCUGCUUCACCCAUCAACCGAUUGCUAUUCCAAUGAGUACUUGUUGGCUAUUUGAGGGUUCUCCUGCUCUCAGGCUUAUCUGAUGGUGCCUGUUGCUUCUCUGGUCUUCCUCUUGCACUCACACAUUCAUGAGACAACCUCUUACCUAGUUUUGUUGUAAAUGCCAGCCUCAGGGUCCUGGGAUUUCAUCAGACAGUUCCUGUCUGUUUACCUGAGGGAGCUUGGGAAGUUCUAAAACACUCUGCUGCCACCAUCUCUUCAGAAUUCCACCUGCCGGGCUCUGUGCUGCGUGCUCAAUUCUUUAGUAGCUCCAAGGGCUAGGUGGAUAUUUGGCCUGAACAAAGGGAAUGAUGAGAAAGGAAACAAUGAGAGAGAUUUAGGGAAAGAAGAAUCCAGAGGGCUUGGUGAGUGAUUGUACACAGAGGGACAGAGGAAUUAAGCAAAGAGGAAAAUACAAAAUAACCAUUUAUUAUUUCAUUCAGCAAAUACUAAGUGACCCCACGGACUUAAUGUCCAGACCCAGGACAGAGGGUAUAGGCUGUGUUCCAUGUUGACAUCAUGCCUGCCCUCAUGGAGCUCCUGGUGAAAUGAGGGGGCAGAUACCAAGCAGGGAAUCCCCAGGAGGUGCAGAAUUACCAAGAAGGGCCCAGGACACAUGUCAGAAAGAAUAAGAUCCUCUAAGUGGAAAUGGGAAAGACAAGAGAGGGGUUAACUAGGGCGAAAAACUGGCGAGUUUAUGUUUCAAGAGGUUGGACUGAUGGUGAGUCACCAAAGCAGAGAUAUCCAGCGGACAUGAAAAUGCACUUGGAGUAGUGGGAAGUCUAUGACAGCUAUGGUCUCUCCAAGGAGAAGACCUGGUUAGAAGAUCAAUUGCCAAGUUUCAUGAAACAGCUUUCUUAAGAGGGCAGGAGGGGCAACUGGAGCAUGAGAACAACCAGAACUUGGCAGCACCUUGUCUGGAAAGUCCUGAAUGGAUAAGAUUUGAGGACCAAUGUGGGGUGACAUGGGCAGAUGCUGCAGAGAGGGCAGAGAGAGGAUGAGAACUGAGACAAAGCCAGAGUCUGGGGGUCAGGGGCAACUGUGGUUUCAGUCAGCAAUGUUUAAUUACAAGAAACAGAAACGUAUUCAAAAAAGCAACUCAUUUGUUGAGCAACUCUUUCACUGGCUUCCCAGCAACCGCUGCUUCAUUCUGAUCUGAGUAUGGACCAGUCUGCUCUGCUGGGCUCCUCCUCCUGCCCCUCCCUGAGUUUAGAAUGCACAGGCACAGGUUUCUCUGCUACUCAUUCCUCAUUGCCUUCUGAUUAAGGGUCUUCCUUUAUGACUUUAAGUGUCCCUAUCAAAUAACAGGAGAGAAAAUCUGUUAGGCCAGUUUUGCGCAGAAUCUGGCCCUUGUCCAAUCAAUAGUGUCCAGAGGAGGAUUUGUGUGAUGAGCCAAGCCCACUGAGUCAGUAGAGGGAUGAGAAAGGGAGUAAAGGGAUGGGAGGGUGAGGAAUGAAUGGUUUUUCAGAGUAAAGCACAAAAACAAACUUGCAAUUUUUUUUUUCUUGGUACUGGGGAUUGAACUCGGGAACCACUGAGCAAAAUCUCUGGCCCACAAACUUUCAAAAUUUGGAGCUAAGUAUGUGGUUUCAUUGUAACAGAGAACUGAAAGCUGGGCAGUGGUGGGUGCUCCUAACUGAAUGCAAGGGUGUGUAUUUCUAUGGCCAGGGGCAUCCUGGGUAGGGAACACACAACACCUAGUGCCGAAUAGGGAAAGGAGACAGUUGGAGAACGUGGAAUCACCGAGACCAUGAAGUAUUGGCCAGCAAGAAACCAAACUCGCUCUGAUGCUGAUCCACAAGGAGGCCAUCUCCCAGCCUUCGGAACAUGUGCACUUCUGCUCUGAUGAACCCGAAGUAGAUCACUGAGCUCCUCCUCCACAUCUAGCAUUUCUCAGACACCUCCAAGAAGCUAGUGGCCUCUGAAAACAUUCUGACGGACACUGGGCACCCUGAGUCACCAUGGGCAAUGAGAACAGCACCUUGGACCACCAGAGGACUUCAUCAGCUCAGAGUCCAAGAUCCAUGCAGCCACCUGGGGAAAAGAAGCACGGAGAUUCUCCCAGAAGCCCUGACGGUGGGGACUUGUCCAGCAGCACUCCAGACUGUUUAACUUCAUAGUCAACUGAAAAUGGGAAAGAUCAAGGCUUCCAAGGGGCUUAAUCUGAGGCCAAGUGGGGUGUGUGUUCCAGAGAGCAGGCUAUGUUGGCACUGGACCGUGAAACAGAGGAUUCAGACAGCAGUUCCUCAAGCCAAGGAGCCUGGUGGAUUAAUUCCAGAAGUCAACAAGACCACACGGUGGCAAUGGAACAUGGCCAGCACAGAUGUGGCUCAUUCAUCAGUGGUUCCUCAUUAUGGUCCACAGCCAGGCCCUGGUUUCCUGCCAUGGCUCCCUGCAGGAACUCUCUCCGCAGUAUCCUACACCCAUAGUUUUGGGGGUACUCACGAGCAGAGGGCCAGUGGACUUACGUGAUCAGUUCCCAGCAUGGACAUAGGCCAGGCACAUUGGAGCCAACUAGUAACUACUUGUGGGUUCAACUCAUGAGUAGGUCUUGGAUCUGGUUACCAUAACCCUUUUGAACAAUAAAAUCCAGCUUCCCAGAGCCUAUAAUUACAGGCAUUAAGGGAACAAACUAGAGCUCUAUGCAACAAAACUUAAAUGAUAAGCCCCUUGUCAUAGUGAAGCUUUGGGUCACUCACAGCAGGCUUCAUAAUAGCUUUUCAAAACCUUCAGACUCAAAGUGACUUUUUUUUUUUUUUUUUUUUUUUUGCUUUCGGGAACAUAAGAGCGACCUCUGGUGGCAGAAAUUCCCAUGCCAGGGGUUAUCACUUUUGGGUGUCUUAGGUUAUGUGGUUUCUGGAGGAAAUACUUGGAACCUCUUGGCAUGAACAUUAGGUAAAUAGUAAUCAGAUGGGACAGGGUGUUCUGUUUUGUUGAGUGAGUCACAGAAUGAUGCCUUGAACAUCACCUUUGACCCCUGUCCUAUGCUAGCAGUAGGACCCCCUUCCCUUCCCACAUCUCUUCAGCUGUUCCUGUCCUUAAACCCUUUACCAUGGUAACAGAACAAAGGUUUUUGUAUUUAGUUUUAACCAGACCUCUAAGUUGGUUCUGAUGAUCAUAAAACUAACAGAUGAGUUUAUGAUCUCUGGAAUCCCUUGCAAGGGAAACUACUGCUGGCUCAGACCCAAGGUCUUGCUCUUCCCUCUCCAUCUUCGUGGGGUCCUGGGACCUCUUAGGAGACUCAGGGAAUUGUUCAGGGCCUGCAUCACAACUGGACUAAAGAACAACAGCAGCUCAAAGGUCUUUUGUUGCUUGUUCCUCAGCUUUAGUCAAUUAUUAUUUUCCUUUGAAGAAGAAUCACCUCUCAUUGGCAUGCAAAUUGAGAAUAAAAGAAGUGCCUUCCAAGAACAAGCCUAAAGAAGCAACUUCCUGUUCACAAUUGAAAACAGGAUUGUCCUCAAUAAAUGUGUACAUGUCCACAGUGCAAGGCCCUGUGCCUAGUAACUCAGACACUAUUGAGAACAGGCGGCCUCCCUCCUCUCCAGGGAUUUGCGCUGAGUCUGUCCUGAAGUUGAGAUGUUUGUAGGAGAGAUGGGGCACAGCUCCUGAGUCAUGCCAGCCUUAGCAUUAACCAAAGAUAACAAUAGCAUUUAAUGUUCAUUCUGCAUCUGGGUGCCAGACAUCAUGACAAAUGUUAUAUGUGUACAAAGUAAAAUUUUGUCUUCUUUGAAGCGAUUCAAUUAUGCUUUGAGUCCUUACUCUGCCAGGCUGUUGGGGAUGCCCAUGGCAGCUGUCCUUGGGUCUCCCCUCUAUUAAACCCUGAUAUACUGAGGCUGUCAUCUGGCUCCUCUUCAUCCCGAGGGCCACCACCAAGAUGCCUGUAGGUCCAGCCAAACUGUCUGUCCAUCAGUCCCUGGGACUGACCUGCUUUCCUGCCAUCGUUGGCACAUGGAAAUCUUGGCUGAUCCUGGGAGUCCCUGCCCUUCCUGUUGGGGCUUUUCCUUCCCUGAUCAUUCCCCUCUCACACUGCCAGGAAGGCAGGGUGAGGUGCUCAGAUAGCCCCAUUGCUCAGGGUCCUUUCUCUAUUCUCCCACCCUCAAAUGCUUUUGUCUUCUCUGGUGGCUUCAUUGGACAACCAGCCUUUAGUCUCCAAAGGACACAGGAUUUUACAAAUGGUGGGAAAAGCCACUGACUCAAAUUGUUGCUAGUCAUAAAAACACCAGAGAGAGAAAAUGCAGAAGAGCCUACAGCGGCUAUCAGCUCACUGGGGGGGCACCGGAAGAAUCGGUCAGCCUUCCAUAUUCUUGGUUCCUGUAUCUGUGGAUUUA
This is a long non-coding RNA of Heterocephalus glaber (naked mole-rat), 5322 nucleotides long. Lineage: Eukaryota; Metazoa; Chordata; Mammalia; Rodentia; Bathyergidae. The record is from Ensembl.